UACGUGAGGGGCGAACGUUGUUCGGUGUCACUGGGCUUAAAGGGCGCGUAGGUGGUUGCGUAAGUAAGGUGUGAAAGCCCUCGGCUUACCCGGGGAAUCGCGCCUUAUACUGCGUAGCUUGAGGAUCAAAGGGGAAGGGGGAACUCCAGGUGUAGCGGUGAAAUGCGCAGAUAUCUGGGGGAAGGCCGGCGGCGAAGGCGCCCUUCUGGUUGAAUCCUGACACUGAGGCGCGAAAGCGUGGGGAGCAAACAGG
RNAcentral lists this ribosomal RNA (253 nucleotides) under uncultured bacterium. RNAcentral describes it as "partial 16S ribosomal RNA". It matches the Rfam family "Bacterial small subunit ribosomal RNA", at positions 524 to 776 of the family's 1533-position model. The record is from RNAcentral.